GCCGCAUUCAGCCAGUACGGCCACGUCUUUCAGCCAACUCGCUGCUUUUCGACGCUUCUACCGCGCGAAAACAAAGAAAAAAUCUCAAAUUCGACCACUGAGAACGUUUGAAGUGAUUACACGAAAGAGUGACGCUCUACUCCUUGAAAACUGACGGUUUGUGCGAAAAAAACAAAUGACAGGAAAAUGCGCGCCAAAACUGACAUUUCACAGUGCAUAGAUUAAAAUGAUUUAUGUUUUUUCCGACGCGCGUUUCCUGCGAGCGAUACACUGCAAGUGACGUGUCACGUGGUGUUUCGAUCUGUCAAAAUGUGACAGAGAUAGAAGAUAAAGGUGGUGGGGGGAGUUCGCGUGCUGCGUCGAUCGCUCGUUCGCGGAAGACCUAAUGAAGAUCUUAAUUGGCGCGCGUGUGUUCACGCCCUUAUCGCUGCCAGUACGAAGAACUUAGUAUCGGGGGCCAUUAAAAAUAUCAAUGACACAUUCGAGGUCGAGGGCUUCAGUCUAAAAUGGAUGGGAAAAGGACCGGGACUCAUCAUCGUUAGCCAACGUGACAGCAUUGGGAAUGCAGAACGAACGCGAUCCUCGAGUUGUUUCUUCAGCUGCCAGCGAUUUUAAGGAGUCGAAUGUGUAGUUGUGAACUGAUUGCCAAGUUUUGAUUAUCAAUAGGUACUCGCAUUUCUCAUCAACCUAUAAUUGUCCUGAAAGGACAUCUAUAUUUAGAACAUGUUUAUAAGUAUACUGUAUUCUAAUAAAGAAUUUGUUACUCGUACAACAUCCUUAGCAUACAUAAGGAGUUUAGGUCAUUCCACUGUCACUUGCAAUAGCUUUCUCCAAUACAGUCACUAGCCGCUGUCUGUGCCUUCUUCUUUUAACAGUUCUUUUGUACCACUUGAGACAUAAUAAAUACUUCAUUCAAUAUUUGUUAUUUAUACUAAGUUGAUCCUCAAAAUGAACAGAAUUAAUUUAAGUGUCUUGUAAAAGACAUUAAACAAGCCUAUACUUGAGUCAAAUUUGCGUCUAGACUAAACAAAUUAGCCAAGAUACUCCGUGACCGAAAUAUAAUCUAGAUCUUGUUAAUCAUCCUACUAAGAGGAAUUUUAGAGUCCUUAGUGAGAAGUUAAAUAAACCUUAUGAAAGCAUAUUAAAAAAAGUAUUUUUAUUCAGACUUUUUGUACAUCAUGGCCGCUUACAAACAAGGCUACAUUUUUUCAGGAAAUAAAUUAAAAAUUUCGCCAGCUUAGAAACCGAAGUCCUGACACAGGUUGCGAAUUAAUGCAAUUAGUUAAUUUAGCUGCAAUUCCGUUGCGCCGCAAUUGCAUAAAUACUAUACACACAGCUCAAAAAGUAGAGCCAUUUCAUUCUAAGCAAAUACAAAUCAUGCAUACGAGUACCUAUUCAGAAAAAGAACUUAUUGUCUUCGCCUCGCGAUGUCAUCAUCCUUGAUGACUGGUUGGUUAUGUUAUGUUUUGUAUUACUCCAAUACAGAUAGAUUUUUGCAAUGGAGUUAGUUAAUAUUGAUUUCCACAAGUUGAGUAUCGAUAAUACAAAUCUAAGUAACAACAAACCAUCCAUGUUCUUACAUGAUCCUUCGUUUAGAUGUUGGUAGCUGUAUUUUUUAAUAAUUACCAGUUCAUUUUCAGGAAAUUUAUCCAGCAGAUUGUAAUUCCACCACAUACUGAGCCCAAAAGCAAAGCAGCAACAUUAUGCUUGCUGUUUUAUUUAGUCUUUGGCCACGAAUACUUUUUACUAACACCCAAUUAAUGCAAUAAAGUCGUUUCAAUCGUAGUGUGGUGACCAAUGAAACGUGAAGUCCUAUAACGGCUCUAUGGCCAUUUAAAGCGCCUAGGAAAUAACUGAUAUUUACUUACGAGGAUGCCAUGUCUGGAUUGCAAAAACUUGUUACGUAUAAUUUGUGUUUGUAGGUAUAAAUAACAUGUCUUAAUUCUCAAUGGGAUGACAUAAUUUUAAGAUUCAAGUGACAUGAGAUAUUGGUUUCUACAAGACUUUAUUUGAAAAAAUAUUUUUGGGCUGCCAACGUCAUUAUAAUCAAACUGUGUAAACCGAAGGCCUACCUAUCUGAAAAUUGUAACAACAAAACUUAUCCUACUUUUUUCUAUUUUUUUAUGGAUAACAAUGCAGGUAUUAGACCUCAAUCGCACCUGGUGUUAAGUGAGAUGCAGUCUAGGAUGGUACAUUCUGCCCUGUA
This is a long non-coding RNA of Ostrinia nubilalis (European corn borer), 2206 nucleotides long. RefSeq lists it as uncharacterized. The transcript is spliced from 3 exons. Lineage: Eukaryota; Metazoa; Arthropoda; Insecta; Lepidoptera; Crambidae. The record is from RefSeq and is a predicted model, not a curated record.